RNAcentral lists this transfer RNA (68 nucleotides) under Dermophis mexicanus (Mexican burrowing caecilian). RNAcentral describes it as "tRNA-Arg". Lineage: Eukaryota; Metazoa; Chordata; Amphibia; Gymnophiona; Dermophiidae. The record is from RNAcentral.
AAGAAGUUAGUCUAAAAAAAGACCAUUGAUUUCGACUCAAUAAAUUGUUAUAAUAUAACAACCUCUUU